CAAAAACAUCGCCUCCCGCAAAGAUCAAAGUAUAGGAGGUCCUACCUGCCCAGUGAUUAAAUUUAAACGGCCGCGGUAUUUUGACCGUGCUAAGGUAGCGCAAUCACUUGUCUUUUAAAUGAAGACCUGUAUGAAUGGUGAAACGAGGGCUUAACUGUCUCCCUUCUUAGGUCAGUGAAAUUGAUCUGCCCGUGCAGAAGCGGACAUACAAAUACAAGACGAGAAGACCCUUUGGAGCUUAAGACAUAAGAUCAAUUGUGUCAAUAAGCCCUAAAGAACCAAACAAAACAAUCUGAUCAGCGUCUUCGGUUGGGGCGACCACGGGGGAAAACAAAGCCCCCACGUAGAACGGGACAACCCCUAAAACUAAGAGGGACACCUCUAAGCCACAGAACCUCUGACUUAAAAGAUCCGGCACACGCCGAUUAACGAACCAAGUUACCCUAGGGAUAACAGCGCAAUCCUCUCCAAGAGUCCAUAUCGACAAGGGGGUUUACGACCUCGAUGUUGGAUCAGGACAUCCUAAUGGUGCAGCCGCUAUUAAGGGUUCGUUUGUUCAACGAUUAAAGUCCUACGUGAUCUGAU
RNAcentral lists this ribosomal RNA (585 nucleotides) under Brycon aff. atrocaudatus KTA-2014. Its description in RNAcentral is "partial 16S ribosomal RNA". It matches the Rfam family "Bacterial large subunit ribosomal RNA", at positions 1808 to 2609 of the family's 2925-position model. Lineage: Eukaryota; Metazoa; Chordata; Actinopteri; Characiformes; Bryconidae. The record is from RNAcentral.